AUUGAACGCUGGCGGCAGGCCUAACACAUGCAAGUCGAAUGGUAACAGGAAACAGCUUGCUGUUUCGCUGACGAGUGGCGGACGGGUGAGUAAUGUCUGGGAAACUGCCUGAUGGAGGGGGAUAACUACUGGAAACGGUAGCUAAUACCGCAUAACGUCGCAAGACCAAAGAGGGGGACCUUCGGGCCUCUUGCCAUCAGAUGCGCCCAGAUGGGAUUAGCUAGUAGGUGGGGUAACGGCUCACCUAGGCGACGAUCCCUAGCUGGUCUGAGAGGAUGACCAGCUACACUGGAACUGAGACACGGUCCAGACUCCUACGGGAGGCAGCAGUGGGGAAUAUUGCACAAUGGGCGCAAGCCUGAUGCAGCCAUGCCGCGUGUAUGAAGAAGGCCUUCGGGUUGUAAAGUACUUUCAGCGGGGAGGAAGGGAGUAAAGUUAAUACCUUUGCUCAUUGACGUUACCCGCAGAAGAAGCACCGGCUAACUCCGUG
Molecule: ribosomal RNA, 490 nt
Filed under: uncultured bacterium
Lineage: Bacteria
Description: partial 16S ribosomal RNA
Rfam family: Bacterial small subunit ribosomal RNA
Source: RNAcentral